GAUGAACGCUGGCGGCGCGCCUAACACAUGCAAGUCGAACGAUUAAAGCACCUUCGGGUGUGUAUAAAGUGGCGAACGGCUGAGUAACACGUGGGCAACCUGCCCCUCUCAUUGGGAUAGCCACGGGAAACCGUGGAUAAUACCGAAUACUUCGGGACUUCCGCAUGGAAGACUCGAGAAAGCUCCGGCGGAGAGGGAUGGGCCCGCGGCCUGUUAGCUUGUUGGUGGGGUAAUGGCCUACCAAGGCAAUGAUGGGUAGCUGGGUUGAGAGACCGACCAGCCAGAUUGGGACUGAGACACGGCCCAGACUCCUACGGGAGGCAGCAGUGGGGAAUCUUGCACAAUGGGCGAAAGCCUGAUGCAGCGACGCCGCGUGCGGGAUGAAGGCCUUCGGGUUGUAAACCGCUUUCAGCAGGGACGAAGCGAAAGUGACGGUACCUGCAGAAGAAGCCCCGGCUAACUACGUG
This 467-nucleotide ribosomal RNA is filed under the name uncultured bacterium. Its description in RNAcentral is "partial 16S ribosomal RNA". It matches the Rfam family "Bacterial small subunit ribosomal RNA", at positions 28 to 507 of the family's 1533-position model. The record is from RNAcentral.